UACAGAGGGUGCGAGCGUUAAUCGGAAUUACUGGGCGUAAAGCGUGCGUAGACGGUUAUCUAAGUCGGAUGUGAAAGCCCCGGGCUCAACCUGGGAAUUGCAUUCGAGACUGAAUAGCUAGGGUACGGUAGAGGGAAGUGGAAUUUCCGGUGUAGCGGCGAAAUGCGUAGAUAUCGGAAGGAACAUCAGUAGCGAAAGCGACUUCCUGGACCAGUACCGACGUUCAGGCACGAAAGCGUGGGGAGCAAACAGG
Molecule: ribosomal RNA, 253 nt
Filed under: uncultured bacterium
Lineage: Bacteria
Description: partial 16S ribosomal RNA
Rfam family: Bacterial small subunit ribosomal RNA
Source: RNAcentral